UGGAUCUGGUUUGUUAAGCUUUGGACCCUUUUAGGCGUGAUUUAUACACAUUAAAAUCAGUAUGUUUGUUUACAACACAGCUUAGGGAUGGGUGGGUGGAUUUGUUUAGAAAUUAUUGGUAUCUAUAGUUUAACAGAGUUUAUCAGUGUAUCAGUUACGGUUUUGUCUUUGAAAGAAAGUUAGAGCACACAUCAAUAUCGUAUUAUCCAGAACGACAAACUAAGUGAAAUUCGAAUAUUUUUUUAGGUUACCAAAAAAUUUAAAAACCAGGGCAAAAUGGAUUGAAAAUAUUGGGCGACGUGAUUGGAAUCCUACACCAAAUACAUAUAUUUGUUCUUUACAUUUUGAAAAAAAUUGCGUAAAUCGCACUUUAAAUGUACCGCGAGUGAAAGAUAACUGUUUUCCAACAAUAUUCCCGCAAGGAAUAAUGCGACAUAUAAAUUUACAAAAUGAAAUAAACACAACUGGAUGUUUAUCACAACAGCAUGUAAUUGCACCAGAUGAAUCAAAUUCUCAAGCAAGUACAUCUAAGGACUAC
Long non-coding RNA from Manduca sexta (tobacco hornworm), 538 nucleotides. RefSeq lists it as uncharacterized. The transcript has 3 exons. The record is from RefSeq and is a predicted model, not a curated record. NCBI's taxonomy places the organism in Eukaryota, Metazoa, Arthropoda, Insecta, Lepidoptera, Sphingidae.